RNAcentral lists this ribosomal RNA (443 nucleotides) under uncultured bacterium. RNAcentral's name for it is "partial 16S ribosomal RNA". It matches the Rfam family "Bacterial small subunit ribosomal RNA", at positions 338 to 795 of the family's 1533-position model. The record is from RNAcentral.
CCUACGGGAGGCAGCAGUGGGGAAUAUUGGGCAAUGGGCGCAAGCCUGACCCAGCAACGCCGCGUGAAGGAAGAAGGCUUUCGGGUUGUAAACUUCUUUUCUCAGGGACGAAGCAAGUGACGGUACCUGAGGAAUAAGCCACGGCUAACUACGGGCCAGCAGCCGCGGUAAUACGUAGGUGGCAAGCGUUAUCCGGAUUUACUGGGUGUAAAGGGCUUGUAGGCGGGACUGCAAGUCAGAUGUGAAAACCACGGGCUGAACCUGUGGACUGCAUUUGAACAUUUAGUUCUUGAGUACUGGAGAGGCAGACGGAAUUCCUAGUGUAGCGGUGAAAUGCGUAGAUAUUAGGAGGAACACCAGUGGCGAAGGCGGUCUGCUGGACAGCAACUGACGCUGAGGCGCGAAAGCGUGGGGAGCAAACAGGAUUAGAUACCCUGGUAGUC